Molecule: ribosomal RNA, 253 nt
Filed under: uncultured bacterium
Lineage: Bacteria
Description: partial 16S ribosomal RNA
Rfam family: Bacterial small subunit ribosomal RNA
Source: RNAcentral
UACAGAGGGUGCGAGCGUUAAUCGGAAUUACUGGGCGUAAAGCGCGCGUAGGCGGCUUUGCAAGUCGGGUGUGAAAUCCCCAGGCUUAACCUGGGAACUGCAUUCGAGACUGCAUUGCUAGAGUAUGGGAGAGGGAAGUGGAAUUUCCGGUGUAGCGGUGAAAUGCGUAGAUAUCGGAAGGAACAUCAGUGGCGAAAGCGGGUCUCUGGGCCGAUACUGACGCUGAGGAGCGAAAGCGUGGGGAGCGAACAGG